CUAAUUUUUCUGUGUGAAAACAUUAUUAUUAUUUUUUUUCAUUGGUUCAAUCAAAAUAUUUGUGAGAAUAUAAUCACCGAACAUUUCGUAAUGAGUAUCAUUGUAUUCACUAAUAAUUUCUAAUAGUAUGUUUGAUAAGAGUUGGAGUGGAGUUACCUAGCCCUUGCUUCGUCAAAUUAUUUGAUUAAAAUGUGUACCCUCAACAAAACCAAUUGAGCUAGAAUUGGUUCUUGAGGCAAAUUGACAUAAAUAAAUAUAUUUAAUUGACAUCAAUAAAUAUAUUUGCCAUCAUUGUGCAUGAAUAUUUUUCUGGGUUUUAUGUUUUAUAAUCUCUUAUCGAUUUUAGGCGUGUCUUCUUUAAAGGAAUCAUCUAUGUAUUUGAAACCGUUUUGCAAUGGUAUUACGGAACCAGCCUUAAAAAUCUGAAUUUGACUUAUUACUCAAAAAAUAAUUAUAGGGACUAGAUAAAAUGUCAUGCCUAUUGUAAUAUAAAGAUGGAAUAAAAUUUAUUACAAGGAAAGAAAGAGAAAUAGAAAGAGAUUUAAAUAUAUAUAACGAAGGGAAUAGAAUGAGUAAUUUUAGUAGU
RNAcentral lists this long non-coding RNA (586 nucleotides) under Capsicum annuum. Its description in RNAcentral is "long non-coding RNA (CANN_LNC013592)". The record is from RNAcentral. Lineage: Eukaryota; Viridiplantae; Streptophyta; Magnoliopsida; Solanales; Solanaceae.